RNAcentral lists this long non-coding RNA (2894 nucleotides) under Linum usitatissimum (flax). RNAcentral's name for it is "long non-coding RNA (LUSI_LNC002481)". The record is from RNAcentral. Lineage: Eukaryota; Viridiplantae; Streptophyta; Magnoliopsida; Malpighiales; Linaceae.
AAUAUUAGGCAAUUACUAAUAUUUUUCUAACAUUAGGGAUAAGCACACUAAUUCUUUCUAACAUUAGGCAUAAGCAAGUAUUAAUAUUUUCUAACAUUAGGCAUAAUGAAGUACUAAUAUUCUUAAACAAUAUGAAUCUAUGUACAUUAGCUCACAUAAUACUAGGCAAGUACUAAUAUUAUUUAACACUAGGCUGUAAUUAAUAUUUUCUAAGCAUUAUUCAAACGGUACCAACCUCAUUGUCGAAAAUUUUACCGGCUCGAUGUCGGUUGUGCACGCCUCAAAGUAGUUUCCAUCAAUCGGCUCGGGGUCGACAUGCGGAGGUGUUGGUCCAUACAAGUAAUCCAUUCUACAACUAAAAAAAUUAUUAGUAGGUAACAAAAUGAGAAAAUUACAACAAAAAUUUACAAAUAUUACCGACUAGUUGAUUCCAAAACAGGACUUUGAUUGUCGGUAUCAAAAAACCAAAGAAGGAAGGAGAGAGAAUUAGUAAUGUGUGAGAAAAUGAAGAAGAGGGAGGGGUUAUUUAUAGCAACCAGAUGAGACCACCAAGGACGCGCUGGCCUCCAACGGCUACUUUCUAACGGUCAUCUUGUUACCAUCAAUCGAUUAUCUCUGUGCUGCCGCCACCAGCUGAACUGAUCGAUCUGAGCUUCAUCUUCACUCCUCCAAGCUCUCUCGGAUAGUCAGAUAUCGAGUUGCUUCCCCGAACUAGUUGGCGUAGUAAGAAGGACUGUUGGAACACGCUAAUGGAGCAUGCAACAAUGAAAUAAGAAUUGAUUCCUUCUUCAUCAUCGAAGAUCCACUACCGCCACUGAGCUUACUCGAACACUUCCUAACGAAUUUCUCUCCAAUUCCUUCAAAUUGUCGCCUCUGUCUUGCCAUUGAACAUUUAGCUCCUCCCUAUCCCCUGAGAACGACGAUGAAGACGAAGCAGAAGCAAACGAUGAAGAUCGAGGAUUCAGCUCGCAAUCGUGAGAAGUGGAAAUCGAGCAAUGGCUUGGAGCCGAGCAAAUCGUGCUCCACAGGCUCGCGUACAAAGCAAUCAUCAUCAGAACCGCCAUCAGACAGAUCAAAUUGUAAGGAGAACAAACCUAAUUCGAUGAAUUCAACACACAAGGGUUAAAAGAGAAACCCAAUCAAAUUGAACUAUGCUUUGUAAUUUUUUUUUCUACAUAGCGAACACUGUACAUAGAGACUUAAAAGCUACUUGAGUAUUGAAUGUGGACGCAAAGGAGCAUUAGUCGGAACCCGCCUUUGGAGAAGUUUGUAUCCGAUCGGCGAGAGGAAAGCAAAGCAGAAGCGCCACCGUUUAAACUUUCGGGGAGCAUUUCGACUCCGGAUGACGAAAUUUCCAGAGCUGGGGAGUCGAUCUGAUCGCCAGACCUCAGAUCUCUGGUGAUUUGUCCAAUUGUCCUUAUCGCCAAAGUUCAGAACUUUGUGGGCUGGUUAGGAUAAUGCCGGAGGCGGCGACGGUUCGAUGGUCGGUUGCGCCUAUCUGAGCAGGGGAGUCGAUAUGAAUGAAAGAAAUUAUUACAUCCUAAUUUUAGCAAUUGAAACUGUAUUUAUUAAAUUACUAAAUUAUCCCUUAAGAAAUGUAAUACGAAAAGCAUAUUAGGGAAAUAAUAGUAUUGUUAUGUGAAUGAUUGUUAUGUGUUUGUUGCAUUAUUGCACCGUCGGAACAAACACCCGCGCCCCCUGCUCUCUCACCCUCCAAAAUCGCCUAACACCACCCAAAAUUAAAUAGCUCUCAUCCAAUACCAACUCCGAUUAACCCCACUACCGCUUCACAAACCUCACCAUAUCUACUGAAGCCGCUAUGUCCUCCGUUAUUGAAGCCACCAAUACCGACUCAACGACGAACGAUCAGGUGAUCGGAACUAAUGACGUUGGUACCGAAUUUGUAGACUUAUGAGAUCUCUCUUUGGAUGACAGCGACGAUGAAAGUGUAUCUCUCAAAGAGCUUACAACGAAGCCUCCUCCGCACAAAUUGCUAUUUCGGGGGUUAUGGAGACCGGAUCAUCUCCGACAACAUGCUAUCCCUUGUUGGUAGAUCGUUUUCCUUUUGAAUUGCUUUCUUUUUUCAUGUCAAGUGAGUCGUUAUGUCUUUUUCGUUUUCGCUUAGUCAUUCUUAGUUGCUAGUUGGUCGGUCCUGAACCUGUUGGUCUUGUCCACUUGAGAUCUACUGAAUGUCUACAGUAUUGUGGAAAGCUAGGUUGCGGAGUCAGUUAGCUGUCAGGUUAACUACUUCUCCCGGUGUAAUCUGUUGUGCGGAUUGUGCCUCCCGGGUUACCACCCAUGUAAUGUUCUUUAUGAUUUCUAUCAAUAAUAAGAAGUUAUAAUGUUGUCGAAAAAAAGGUUUACUUGCCAAUUAAAGAUGUGAAGAAAUUAACUUGCUUGUGAAUUAAAUAUUUGAACUUGAUUUAGCUCAAAUAGCGGAAUUGGAGGUUUGAUGCUUAAUUAAUUCGUUUAAUUCAAAGGGUUUGACUUGUCAGUUGAUCAAGUUUAAGAAUUAGUAAAGUUCGGUGAGGUUCGGUUACUUUCGGGUUUGUUAGAUAAUCAGAUAAGGAGUGAAGAUUUUAUUUUAAUUAGUGAUGUGCUUGGGAGACCUGAACUGUGAGAUGAAUACUACAGUGAGUGAUGGAGGCUUGAUCCAUUCAAGGAAGCAGUUAUGAGAGAUCUGAGUCGUUAGAUCGAUCAUGCAGUCAAGAUAGCCUGGAGCCGAGUUCAUGUUGUGAUGACAUAGGUGUUUGGAUUGUCGGAUUGAUCUAAUACUGGGAUGAGAGGCUUGAUUUAAUUCAAGAGUUGAUGGCUCAAGUGUAUUUGUGUCUUCAUAUGUUGCUUAUCCGCUAGCAACAGAUGAAGACAAAUUAUGGAUGUUUGUUGGAUCCUUA